Molecule: long non-coding RNA, 1377 nt
Organism: Rhinopithecus roxellana (golden snub-nosed monkey)
Lineage: Eukaryota; Metazoa; Chordata; Mammalia; Primates; Cercopithecidae
Exons: 3
Source: RefSeq, a predicted model, not a curated record
CCUGGGCGACAGUGAGACCCCCCUCCAGAUAAAAAAACAAGAGAAAAACCCCAGUCUUGCCACUGACUUGCUAGGUAGGUGACACCAGGUGGGGCCCUUCUCAUUGGGCAUGCUAGAAGAGUCUCAAUCCCGGGAUGGGACAGGCAGGCAGGUGACAGCCUGAUUUUGGCUGCUGCCGCCUCUGUGGAGGGAUCUCUGGUUGUGGGCCCUCUCACCUGUCUUGAGCUGAGAUGCCUGCCUCUCAUCACUCUGGGCUCCCCUGGCCUCACGGUGGCCUGGCCUCAGGUGCCCUCCCUGAGUCCAUGUUGAGACUGGCUAGGCCAGGCGUCUUGCGUACCAUGCUUCACAGACAGGCUGUGACCUGCCUCUCUGCUGCCUCAAAGCAGCAGUGUGCUUAUAAAUGGUUAACAACCAGCUUUCCAGGAAAGGAAAUGUACACGUAUGUAUGUAGGCAUGGAUCUCUCUCCCUUCCUCCUCUGUCUCUGUCUCUAUAUACACACAGGCACAUGCAUACAUAUAUGUGAACACACAAUUUACAAAUAAUAAAAUCCACAAUAUAUAAAAAAUUCAACAAAAUGUACAAUAUACUCCUCACUGUAAAUUCCACAUGGCCAGUCGAUACUCACAAAAUGCCUUCAUUGACUUUUACUGAGUUCUUGUAUCUGUAUCCAGUACUUGAUUGCAACGGAUGGACGGGUGGUUCCCACAUGUAUGUUGGCUGAUGUUUUCAUUUAUUUUAAUAAGAUCAACUCGAAGCAGCUAAGAUGAGCAACUUCUUUGCUUAACUGGAUGAUAGUUUUCAAAUACCAGAAAUGUUUCUCUUUCUUUUUUUUUCUAUUUGUAAUGUAAUGACCACAGACCCAGCGUUCUUCAGUUUAAUCUGCAAUAUUAGCAUUUUCCUCGUCGCUUUCUAAAGUCUAGGCAAUCAACAAAGCAGUAAUACAUCAAGCCCUGGCAAGCCGUGGCAUGCCCAGCUCUGUGGCGUAAUACUUCCACUUGGCCAGUCUUGAGCUACCAACAUGAAGUCACUGAAGGUGACCUUGGGAAGAGACUCCAGGAUUUCCACCACAGACAUCUGACAGAUGGCAACACACAGCAACAGUAAAGCAUGCUCGAAUCAUGAAGACAUUUCAGAAAGUCAAGAGUGUACAGAUGUUGGUCCUCAGGAGCUUCAUUUACCUGGCCCAUCACCGAAGAGGCAGAAAUGGAAGACCAGGCUGAGGGAGGCUGGGGAGAGGGGUAUCCGGAGGCCCAAGAGGAAGACGAUGAAGAAGAUGCCGAGGAAGAAUGAGAAGCUGAGGUGACAGCAGCUGGCAGGUCUCAUUGUCACCCAGGCUGGAGUGCACUGUUGCGAUCUUGGCUCACUGCGACUUCCGC